AUUGAACGCUGGCGGCAUGCCUUACACAUGCAAGUCGAACGGCAUCGCGGGAAAGCUUGCUUUCCUGGCGGCGAGUGGCGCACGGGUGAGUAACACAUCGGAACGUACCGGCUAGUGGGGGAUAACCCGUCGAAAGACGGGCUAAUACCGCAUACGCUCUUCGGAGGAAAGCAGGGGACCUUUGGGCCUUGCGCUAGUCGAGCGGCCGAUGUCCGAUUAGCUAGUUGGUGGGGUAAAGGCCUACCAAGGCGACGAUCGGUAGCGGGUCUGAGAGGACGAUCCGCCACACUGGGACUGAGACACGGCCCAGACUCCUACGGGAGGCAGCAGUGGGGAAUCUUGGACAAUGGGGGCAACCCUGAUCCAGCAAUGCCGCGUGGGUGAAGAAGGCCUUCGGGUUGUAAAGCCCUUUCGGCAGGGAAGAAAUCGGCGGGGCGAAUAACCCUGCUGGAUGACGGUACCUGCAGAAGAAGCACCGGCUAACUACGUG
RNAcentral lists this ribosomal RNA (490 nucleotides) under uncultured bacterium. Its description in RNAcentral is "partial 16S ribosomal RNA". It matches the Rfam family "Bacterial small subunit ribosomal RNA", at positions 29 to 507 of the family's 1533-position model. The record is from RNAcentral.